GUCAAGUCGAACGGCAGCACAGCAGAGCUUGCUCUGUGGGUGGCGAGUGGCGGACGGGUGAGGAAUACAUGGGAAUCUGCCCAGUCGUGGGGGAUAACGUAUGGAAACGUACGCUAAUACCGCAUGCGCCCUACGGGGGAAAGUCGGGGACCGCAAGGCCUGACGCGAUUGGAUGAGCCCAUGUUCGAUUAGCUAGUUGGCGGGGUAAAGGCCCACCAAGGCGACGAUCGAUAGCUGGUCUGAGAGGAUGAUCAGCCACACUGGGACUGAGACACGGUCCAGACUCCUACGGGAGGCAGCAGUAGGGAAUAUUGGACAAUGGGGGCAACCCUGAUCCAGCCAUGCCGCGUGAGUGAAGAAGGCCCUCGGGUUGUAAAGCUCUUUUGUCCGGAAAGAAAAGCAUCUGGUUAAUACCCGGGUGUUCUGACGGUACCGGAAGAAUAAGCACCGGCUAACUUCGUGCCAGCAGCCGCGGUAAUACGAAGUGUGCAAGCGUUACUCGGAAUUACUGGGCGUAAAGCGUGCGUAGGUGGUUCGUUAAGUCUGAUGUGAAAGCCCUGGGCUCAACCUGGGAAUGGCAUUGGAUACUGGCGGGCUAGAGUGCGGUAGAGGGUAGUGGAAUUCUCGGUGUAGCAGUGAAAUGCGUAUAGAUCGGGAGGAACAUCUGUGGCGAAGGCGACUGCCUGGACCAGCACUGACACUGAGGCACGAAAGCGUGGGGAGCAAACAGGAUUAGAUACUCUGSUAGUCCACGCCCUAAACGAUGCGAACUGGAUGUUGGGGUUCAACCUUGGAACUCAGUAUCGAAGCUAACGCGUUAAGUUUCGCCCGCCUGCGGAGUACGGGUCGCAAGACUGAAACUUCAAAGGAAUUGGACGGGGGGCCCGCACAAGCGGGUGGAAGUAUG
This 907-nucleotide ribosomal RNA is filed under the name uncultured Thermomonas sp. Its description in RNAcentral is "bacterial SSU rRNA". It matches the Rfam family "Bacterial small subunit ribosomal RNA", at positions 57 to 943 of the family's 1533-position model. The record is from RNAcentral. Lineage: Bacteria; Pseudomonadati; Pseudomonadota; Gammaproteobacteria; Lysobacterales; Lysobacteraceae.